RNAcentral lists this ribosomal RNA (2155 nucleotides) under human oral metagenome. RNAcentral's name for it is "bacterial LSU rRNA". It matches the Rfam family "Bacterial large subunit ribosomal RNA", at positions 1 to 1994 of the family's 2925-position model. The record is from RNAcentral.
GUAAGUUAUUAAGGGCACACGGUGGAUGCCUUGGCAUUAAGAGCCGAUGAAGGACGUGUGAAUCUGCGAUAAGCCUCGGGGAGCCGAUAACUGGGCUGUGAUCCGAGGAUUUCCGAAUGGGGAAACCUGGCUCAUCUUCAUGGUGAGUUACCGCCAGCUGAAUGUAUAGGCUGGUUGGGGGGAACGCGGGGAAGUGAAACAUCUCAGUACCCGCAGGAAGAGAAAAUAAAGUAAUGAUUCUGUGAGUAGUGGCGAGCGAAAGCGGAAGAGACUAAACCUGUGGUGUGUGAUAGCGGUUAGGCGUUGCAUCAUGGGGGUUGUGGGAGUCACAGUGGCAGUUCUAACUGGCUGCCGGCAUGAUGUUCAGGAUGGUAGGUGAACGACUUGGAAUGGUCGGCCGUAGAGGGUGAGAGUCCCGUAAUCGAAAUUGUUCUGUCCGUGGUGUGGCCACCCGAGUAGCACGGGGCUCGUGGAAUCUCGUGUGAAUCUGCCAGGACCACCUGGUAAGUCUAAAUACUUCUUAGUGACCGAUAGUGAAUCAGUACCGUGAGGGAAUGGUGAAAAGUACCCCGGGAGGGGAGUGAAAUAGUACCUGAAACCGUGUGCUUACAAGCCGUUGGAGCCUUUUGGGGUGACAGCGUGCCUUUUGAAGAAUGAGCCUGCGAGUUAGUGUUAUGUCGCGAGGUUAACCCGUGUGGGGUAUCCGUAGCGAAAGCGAGUCUGAAUAGGGCGUUUGAGUGGCAUGACCUAGACCCGAAGCGGAGUGAUCUAUCCAUGGCCAGGUUGAAGCGACGGUAAGACGUCGUGGAGGACCGAACCCACUUCAGUUGAAAAUGGAGGGGAUGAGCUGUGGAUAGGGGUGAAAGGCCAAUCAAACUCUGUGAUAGCUGGUUCUCCCCGAAAUGCAUUUAGGUGCAGCGUUACGUGUUUCUUGCCGGAGGUAGAGCUACUGGAUGGCCGAUGGGCCUUCACGGGUUACUGACGUCAGCUAAACUCCGAAUGCCGGUAAGUGAGAGCGUAGCAGUGAGACAGUGGGGGAUAAGCUUCAUUGUCGAGAGGGAAACAGCCCAGACCACCAACUAAGGCCCCUAAGCGUGUGCUAAGUGGGAAAGGAUGUGGAGUUGCUUAGACAACCAGGAGGUUGGCUUAGAAGCAGCCAUCCUUGAAAGAGUGCGUAACAGCUCACUGGUCAAGUGAUUCUGCGCCGAUAAUGUAGCGGGGCUCAAGUACACCGCCGAAGUUGUGGCAAUGAUCUUUUUGGAUUGUUGGGUAGGGGAGCGUCGUGUGGCCGGUGAAGCUGCGGUGUAAACCAGUGGUGGAGGCUAUGCGAGUGAGAAUGCAGGCAUGAGUAGCGAAAGAUGAGUGAGAAACUCAUCCGCCGGAUGAUCAAGGGUUCCAGGGUCAAGUUAAUCUGCCCUGGGUUAGUCGGGGCCUAAGGCGAGGCCGACAGGCGUAGUCGAUGGAUAACGGGUUGAUAUUCCCGUACCGGUGAAAAACCGCCCAUACUGAUAUUGUGAUGCUAACCAUGCGAAGCAUGAUGUGCAGGCUUUUGUUUGUGUGUUGUGUGGGUUGUGGGACCCGAUCUUUGGAGGUAAACGUGUUAACAGGUGUGACGCAGGAAGGUAGCCAAGCCACGCGAUGGUUGUCGUGGUCUAAGUGUGUAGGGUUGUCGGUUGUUAAAUGCGCCGGCUGUGUGCCUGAGACGUGAUGGGACCCCGUUUUUGGGGGAUUUGGUGAUCCUAUGCUGCCGAGAAAAGCAUCGGCGUGAGGUUUUAGCCGCCCGUACCCUAAACCGACACAGGUGAUCAGGUAGAGAAUACUAAGGCGAUCGAGAGAAUCAUGGUUAAGGAACUCGGCAAAAUGCCCCCGUAACUUCGGGAGAAGGGGGACCUUGAGCGUGAUGGGCACUUGCUGCCUGGAGCGUGUAUGGGUCGCAGAGACCAGGGGGAAGCGACUGUUUAUCAAAAACACAGGUCCGUGCGAAGUCGUAAGACGAUGUAUACGGACUGACUCCUGCCCGGUGCUGGAAGGUUAAGAGGAUUGGUUAGCCCUUUUUUGGGCGAAGCUGAGAAUUUAAGCCCCAGUAAACGGCGGUGGUAACUAUAACCAUCCUAAGGUAGCGAAAUUCCUUGUCGGGUAAGUUCCGACCUGCACG